UACCAAAAAGUUAAGUUAUAUAUCGAUGGUAAAAAGACAGUUAGAUAUAUUUAGAUUUAUUAAGGUCGAUUUAAUGCUUUGUAUAGAAGUAAAAUUUGAGUAUGAUUGUAUAAUUUAUUAGCGGCUUGUGAAUUGAAUCUGUGAAAUCCUUGAGGGAAACUGGGAUUAGGUACCCCAUUAUUUCUGGACGUAAAGCUAAUUAUAUUUACCAGAGUACUAUGAAUAUUAAUAAUUUAAAACUCAAAGGACUUGGCGGUGUUUUAGACCACUUAGGGGAACCUGUCUCAUAAUCGAUAAUCCACGAUAUACCUGACCUUUUUUUGUUUUCAGCUUGUAUACCGUUGUCGUCAGGUAACUUUUUAGAAAUUAAGAGUUAGCAACAGAAAGUUGUAGGUAAUUCAGUACGUCAAAUCAAGGUGCAGCUAAUAAGAAGGGGAGGAUGGGUUACAGUUAUAUGAAUUAUAACGGAUAGAUGUGUGAAAUCACAUAAAUUAUAAGGUGGACUUAAAAGUAAAUUAGAAUAUAUAAAUAAUUUGAAUGAGGCUCUGAAGCGUGU
Molecule: ribosomal RNA, 556 nt
Filed under: Punctoterebra succincta
Lineage: Eukaryota; Metazoa; Mollusca; Gastropoda; Neogastropoda; Terebridae
Description: partial 12S ribosomal RNA
Source: RNAcentral